This 382-nucleotide ribosomal RNA is filed under the name uncultured bacterium. Its description in RNAcentral is "bacterial SSU rRNA". It matches the Rfam family "Bacterial small subunit ribosomal RNA", at positions 29 to 407 of the family's 1533-position model. The record is from RNAcentral.
AUUGAACGCUGGCGGCAUGCCUAACACAUGCAAGUCGAACGGCAGCACGGCAGUAGCAAUACUGUGGGUGGCGAGUGGCGGACGGGUGAGGAAUACGUCGGAAUCUGCCCAGUCGUGGGGGAUAACUAGCCGAAAGGUUAGCUAAUACCGCAUACGACCGAGAGGUGAAAGCGGGGACCGCAAGGCCUCGCGCGAUUGGAUGAGCCGACGUCGGAUUAGCUAGUUGGAGGGGUAAAGGCCCACCAAGGCGACGAUCCGUAGCUGGUCUGAGAGGAUGAUCAGCCACACUGGAACUGAGACACGGUCCAGACUCCUACGGGAGGCAGCAGUGGGGAAUAUUGGACAAUGGGCGCAAGCCUGAUCCAGCAAUGCCGCGUGUGUG